GAACGAGGAGCUAGCUAGGACAAAUUUAUGUUUUUAGUAAUUUUUCUAUUUGGAUUGGGACUUAAUGUUUUCCUUUGUUCAUCAGGAGUGGUUGAUUAAGGUUCGUUGUAGCUUUACAAAAGCCUUGUUCAAACAACGCAGAAAGACCAAACCUCCUCAUUUAGAAUUUAGAUGGAGGAGAGAAUCUACCCCAAUCGCUGCACCAGUAGCUUAGCAGAAACCGUAGCCAGCAUAGAACAAGUCCUUACCGAAAUCCUUGUGCGCGUGCUAGCUAAACCUCUUGUCCGCUUCAAAUGCGUCUCCAAACAUUGGCUCUCUCUGCUGUCUUUUGUGACAAAUCCUGCCGCCCCUUUUAUUUCGUUCCUAUUGAUUUUGAUCACAUGAGUGGAACUGGUAGUACUAGUAGUAAUACUAGUAACCGACUAACCGUGAAAACCAAAAUCCAUCUGGGUCUGGUUCGCCUACUUGUAAUCCUCUCGAUUUUGUUCAGAACCAAUAUGAUUAUGACAUCAAAACUUUCCAGACCUUUCCUGUCAACCGUCUUCAUUUUGAUCACGAAAGCCCCUCUCGCUGUGGUUCACCCCCUUUCAAUCCUCUUAAAUUUGCUCAAAACCAAUAUCAUGAUGACAUCAGAAUUAUCCAGUCCUGCAAUGAACUCUUCCUGUGUCGUCUUUAAAGAUGUCGUCUUUAAAGAUGCAAGUGUUGGUUCUCCAAAGAUGCAAGUGUUUGUCAAAUUUAUGAGCCAAAGAAAAAUCAUUAUGAGCUAAAAAAAAAAAGAGCAUUGUUUAUGUCCUCGAUCUGAUUCAGUUCUUCGAUCAGUUUGUACGGUUAUACCCAGAUAUUACAUGCACAAGUAUGGGCUUAAACGUUCAUAAGCCUGUGAUUUCAGGCCAACUUUUAUGCUUCGCUUCAUUACACGAACUUCAUAUGUUGCAAUUACCAUGUUUGUCGGAAUCACAUUCCAUUUCUUCAGUCGUCUCCUUGGAUUUUUCGGAGGAUUUGCUUUUGCCCUAACAACAUAUUUUCUCCCUUGCAUAAUGUGGCUUGCCAUCUACAAACCAAAGAGAUUCGGCUUAUCCCGGUGGUGCAACUAUAUCUGCAUAUUCUUUGGUGUUCUUUUGAUGGUUCUAUCACCAAUUGGAGGGCUGAGAUCAAUCUGAGUUCAAGCCAAGACCUACGAGUUCUACUCUUAAGCAGUUGAUCAUCAUCCUUCCAAGCGAAAAGCCUGGAAGAGGGUAGUAGUAGUUUUUACAAGAAAAGAAAAGAAACACAGAGCCGUUUCUGAUGAAGGUGAUGAAGAAAGCUUGAGCAGCAAGUAAGCUGUGGACAAAGAAAUAAAUAAGGUUUGUUUAUGGAGUGGAAUACUCGUCGCCACCAUGGGACUAGUUUCCAAAGGGCUCUCUACUGUUUCCUUUUCUUCAUUAUGUAUUUGUUUGGGCAUGUCAUCAUGUAUAUGAUCUUUCUUUUUGUGUUUGUUUAUGCAUUCUGAGGUGGAUAUAUAUGUGUGAAAUCUUAAUUCCCAAAUACUGAUUGAUCCUAUAAUACGUCAAAUUUUGAGCAGUUAUAGCUAUUUCCACUUAUGAGUAUUAUUCAUUUAGCUUGGACUCGCCUAGCUAAUGCAAUCCAGCUUGAUCACUUUGUGUCCUAGGAAGGGGAUUUUGUACUACAUUUUUGCUUAUGUACCGUGGUGUGAAUAAAUUAGUUUUCUGUGCACUUCCUUUCGCCAGAUUUUACGAAU
Molecule: long non-coding RNA, 1738 nt
Organism: Rosa chinensis
Lineage: Eukaryota; Viridiplantae; Streptophyta; Magnoliopsida; Rosales; Rosaceae
Exons: 4
Source: RefSeq, a predicted model, not a curated record